RNAcentral lists this unclassified non-coding RNA (1240 nucleotides) under Hevea brasiliensis (rubber tree). Lineage: Eukaryota; Viridiplantae; Streptophyta; Magnoliopsida; Malpighiales; Euphorbiaceae. The record is from RNAcentral.
AAAAUUGUCACAGUAAAACCUCAGGUAGCUGCCUGUUUCCAAAAGACAAAAUGACCAAUCCAUAUGCAAAUGUUCGAUAAGGAUGAGAAUUUGACAGGAAUUCAAAGGUUCAGCAACUAUCGUUCUAUGCAUCAAACUUACAGGACGUUUUAUAUAUAACUAGCAUAUCUAAGUAUCUAACAUAACACAAUGACCCGCUAAAAGAUGAGAGAAGCGAAAUAGCAAAAUAGUUAAUGAAAUUUGUUUGAAUAAGCUAGAGGAUUAAUCCCUUAGGUGAAGAUGGCUUGGUAGGUUCCUCGGUCUUGGAAGCUUUUGGGGACUCUGAAAGAGCAUGUAUAGGCACAUAACCUUCAGCCGAAUUUUUUGCCUGUUGUUCUUCUGCCAUCUUUUCCUUCGUCUUCUGGCCCACUUCCCCUGCAGCCUUGGUGACCUUAUUGAAAGCACCAGUAACCCAAGAUGCCCCUGUCAACACAUAUCUGUUCUUCAUGAUGGCAGAUCCAGCAGUGCUAACCGUCUGCUCAGCAGCUGCAAGAGCAGAUUUUGUCUUUUCAGAAACAUGGAACUUCUGGUCCAUUUCUUUCACUUUGUCAUUCACAAUCGUUGCCCCCAAAUUGAUUUUCUCACUAAGGCCAAUCUUUUGGUCUAAAGAAGCAACUUUUGCAGAGGCAGUGGAUGUGAACUGGUGUUUCUCAUCAAAUGUCUUGGCUUUGUUAACUGCAUCCUUGCCCAGGAUGAAGCCCUUUGCUAACAUGCUGCUCACAACAUCUUCUGCCUUUUGAAUAGCAGAUCCACCACCAGCUGCAUUAGCACUCUCAGUUGCCUUGAUUGGCACAAGAGCUGUAGGAGGCAGCUCGUAGUCAGGUUCAGGUACUAUUGUGACCGACUGAUCAAUAAUUGUUGCUCCAGAAAGAAGAACUGCAGUUUCUGCACCCUGGAGAUCCUUGAAUGUGACAUAUGCAAUUUGAGAUCGCUCAUUCUCACUCAUCAUCUCAACAUAUUCAAUAUCCCCGGAGAAUGAAAAGAACUCCUUGAUAUCUUGCUCCGAUGCACUCAGAGAAACAUUGCUCACUUUCACUGUUCUAGCCGACAUCGAAUCAGAAGAAGAUCAGAGAACCACAAUAGAGUUAUUUGAAGCAAAUAUAUUUGUAGAAAUUGAGCGUAUGUGAGUUACGUAGAAGAAGAGAAAAGAAGGGUUGUGGGUUUUAGGGAAAAAGUGGUGUACUUCAAAAACGUCAACGAG